CCUACGGGAGGCAGCAGUGGGGGAUAUUGCACAAUGGGCGAAAGCCUGAUGCAGCGACGCCGCGUGAGGGAAGACGGUCCUACGGAUUGUAAACCUCUUUUGCCGGGGAGCAACGGGGUCCUUGCGAGGGCCCGAUGAGAGUACCCGGAGAAAAAGCAUCGGCUAACUCCGUGCCAGCAGCCGCGGUAAUACGGAGGAUGCGAGCGUUAUCCGGAUUUAUUGGGUUUAAAGGGUGCGUAGGCGGGCUGUUAAGUCAGCGGUCAAAUGUCGGGGCUCAACCCCGGCCUGCCGUUGAAACUGGCGGCCUUGAGUGUGCGAGAAGUAUGCGGAAGGCGGGGUGUAGCGGUGAAAUGCAUAGAUAUCACGCAGAACUCCGAUUGCGAAGGCAGCAUACCGGCGCCCGACUGACGCUGAGGCACGAAAGCGUGGGUAUCGAACAGGAUUAGAUACCCCAGUAGUC
RNAcentral lists this ribosomal RNA (460 nucleotides) under uncultured bacterium. RNAcentral's name for it is "partial 16S ribosomal RNA". It matches the Rfam family "Bacterial small subunit ribosomal RNA", at positions 338 to 795 of the family's 1533-position model. The record is from RNAcentral.